GUUUGAUCCUGGCUCAGAUUGAACGCUGGCGGCAGGCCUAACACAUGCAAGUCGAGCGGUAGCACAGAGAGCUUGCUCUCGGGUGACGAGCGGCGGACGGGUGAGUAAUGUCUGGGAAACUGCCUGAUGGAGGGGGAUAACUACUGGAAACGGUAGCUAAUACCGCAUAACGUCGCAAGACCAAAGUGGGGGACCUUCGGGCCUCAUGCCAUCAGAUGUGCCCAGAUGGGAUUAGCUAGUAGGUGGGGUAACGGCUCACCUAGGCGACGAUCCCUAGCUGGUCUGAGAGGAUGACCAGCCACACUGGAACUGAGACACGGUCCAGACUCCUACGGGAGGCAGCAGUGGGGAAUAUUGCACAAUGGGCGCAAGCCUGAUGCAGCCAUGCCGCGUGUGUGAAGAAGGCCUUCGGGUUGUAAAGCACUUUCAGCGGGGAGGAAGGCGAUAAGGUUAAUAACCUUGUCGAUUGACGUUACCCGCAGAAGAAGCACCGGCUAACUCCGUGCCAGCAGCCGCGGUAAUACGGAGGGUGCAAGCGUUAAUCGGAAUUACUGGGCGUAAAGCGCACGCAGGCGGUCUGUCAAGUCGGAUGUGAAAUCCCCGGGCUCAACCUGGGAACUGCAUUCGAAACUGGCAGGCUAGAGUCUUGUAGAGGGGGGUAGAAUUCCAGGUGUAGCGGUGAAAUGCGUAGAGAUCUGGAGGAAUACCGGUGGCGAAGGCGGCCCCCUGGACAAAGACUGACGCUCAGGUGCGAAAGCGUGGGGAGCAAACAGGAUUAGAUACCCUGGUAGUCCACGCCGUAAACGAUGUCGAUUUGGAGGUUGUGCCCUUGAGGCGUGGCUUCCGGAGCUAACGCGUUAAAUCGACCGCCUGGGGAGUACGGCCGCAAGGUUAAAACUCAAAUGAAUUGACGGGGGCCCGCACAAGCGGUGGAGCAUGUGGUUUAAUUCGAUGCAACGCGAAGAACCUUACCUGGUCUUGACAUCCACAGAACUUUCCAGAGAUGGAUUGGUGCCUUCGGGAACUGUGAGACAGGUGCUGCAUGGCUGUCGUCAGCUCGUGUUGUGAAAUGUUGGGUUAAGUCCCGCAACGAGCGCAACCCUUAUCCUUUGUUGCCAGCGUUAGGCCGGGAACUCAAAGGAGACUGCCAGUGAUAAACUGGAGGAAGGUGGGGAUGACGUCAAGUCAUCUGGCCCUUACGACCAGGGCUACACACGUGCUACAAUGGCAUAUACAAAGAGAAGCGACCUCGCGAGAGCAAGCGGACCUCAUAAAGUAUGUCGUAGUCCGGAUUGGAGUCUGCAACUCGACUCCAUGAAGUCGGAAUCGCUAGUAAUCGUAGAUCAGAAUGCUACGGUGAAUACGUUCCCGGGCCUUGUACACACCGCCCGUCACACCAUGGGAGUGGGUUGCAAAAGAAGUAGGUAGCUUAACCUUCGGGAGGGCGCUUACCACUUUGUGAUUCAUGACUGGGGUGAAGUCGUAACAAGGUAACCGUAGGGGAACCUGCGGCUGGAUCACCUCCUUU
Molecule: ribosomal RNA, 1528 nt
Filed under: Klebsiella pneumoniae
Lineage: Bacteria; Pseudomonadati; Pseudomonadota; Gammaproteobacteria; Enterobacterales; Enterobacteriaceae
Description: bacterial SSU rRNA
Rfam family: Bacterial small subunit ribosomal RNA
Source: RNAcentral